GCAAAAAUAGCUCAAUGGUAGAGUCUAACCUUGCCAAGGUUAAUGUUGGGGGUUCGAAUCCCCUUUUUUGCU
This 72-nucleotide transfer RNA is filed under the name Phytophthora captiosa. Its description in RNAcentral is "tRNA-Gly". It matches the Rfam family "tRNA". From Rfam's summary of the family: Transfer RNA (tRNA) molecules are approximately 80 nucleotides in length. Their secondary structure includes four short double-helical elements and three loops (D, anti-codon, and T loops). Lineage: Eukaryota; Oomycota; Peronosporomycetes; Peronosporales; Peronosporaceae. The record is from RNAcentral.